This 348-nucleotide RNase P RNA is filed under the name Candidatus Dormiibacterota bacterium. Its description in RNAcentral is "RNase P RNA component class A". It matches the Rfam family "Bacterial RNase P class A". Rfam says of the family: Ribonuclease P (RNase P) is a ubiquitous endoribonuclease, found in archaea, bacteria and eukarya as well as chloroplasts and mitochondria. Its best characterised activity is the generation of mature 5'-ends of tRNAs by cleaving the 5'-leader elements of precursor-tRNAs. Lineage: Bacteria; Bacillati; Candidatus Dormiibacterota. The record is from RNAcentral.
CGAGGCGGUCGGAUGGCUGCGCGCUUGCCGGUUCGCCGGUUGAGCGUGAGGAACGUCCGAGCUCCUCAGCGCAGGGUAGCGGGUAACGCCCGUCCGCCGCGAGGCGAGGACCAGUGCCACAGUGACGAUGCCGGGCCUUCGGGUCCGGAGUGAAACGCGGCAAACUCUACCCGGAGCAAGGCCAAAUAGGAGGGCGCAACCCGUGCGGGGCAACCCGUCGGGGGAGAGGUGCGCUGCCCAGCCCUCGGGUCGGCCGCAUGAGCCGUCGGGCAACCGGCGGCCUUAGAUGGAUGGCCAUCUCCGCGAGCAAUCGCGGGACAGAACUCGGCGUACAGACCGCCUCAUUGA